GAAAUGCGAUAAGUAAUGUGAAUUGCAGAAUUCAGUGAAUCAUCGAAUCUUUGAACGCACAUUGCGCCCUUUGGUAUUCCGAAGGGCAUGCCUGUUCGAGCGUCAUUUAAACUCUCAAGCUAUGCUUGGUAUUGAAGGAAGUCCUUUUGGACUCUUUUGUAACCUGUCAGUGCGGGACCUACCGGCUUCAAGCGUAGCAAAAUUUCGCUUCGUUGUUUGGUAGGCUCUUGCCAGAUAAUUUUUAUAUCUACAGUUUGACCUCGGAUCAGGUAGGGAUACCCGCUGAACUUAA
RNAcentral lists this unclassified non-coding RNA (292 nucleotides) under uncultured Ascomycota. RNAcentral describes it as "sequence contains ITS1". The stretch from base 1 to 105 matches the Rfam family "5.8S ribosomal RNA", at positions 50 to 154 of the family's 154-position model. Lineage: Eukaryota; Fungi; Ascomycota. The record is from RNAcentral.